Molecule: ribosomal RNA, 469 nt
Filed under: uncultured bacterium
Lineage: Bacteria
Description: partial 16S ribosomal RNA
Rfam family: Bacterial small subunit ribosomal RNA
Source: RNAcentral
GACGAACGCUGGCGGCGUGCUUAACACAUGCAAGUCGGACGGAAAGGCCCUGCUUGCAGGGUGCUCGAGUGGCGAACGGGUGAGUAACACGUGGGUGAUCUACCCCUUACUUUGGGAUAAGCCUGGGAAACUGGGUCUAAUACUGGAUAGGACCAUGCUGUAGGUGGUGUGGUGGAAAGAUUAGUUUCGGUAAGGGAUGAGCUCGCGGCCUAUCAGCUUGUUGGUGGGGUAAUGGCCUACCAAGGCGUCGACGGGUAGCCGGCCUGAGAGGGUGGACGGCCACAUUGGGACUGAGACACGGCCCAGACUCCUACGGGAGGCAGCAGUGGGGAAUAUUGCACAAUGGGCGCAAGCCUGAUGCAGCGACGCCGCGUGGGGGAUGACGGCCUUCGGGUUGUAAACUCCUUUCAGCCAUGACGAAGCCCUUGUGGUGACGGUAGUGGUAGAAGAAGCACCGGCUAACUACGUG